AUUGAACGCUGGCGGCAGGCCUAACACAUGCAAGUCGAGCGAGCGGCGGACGGGUGAGUAAUGUCUGGGACACUGCCUGAUGGAGGUGGAUAACUACUGGAAACGGUAGCUAAUACCGCAUACCAUCAGAUGUGCCCAGAUGGGAUGAGCUAGUAGGUGGGGUAACGGCUCACCUAGGCGACGAUCCCUCGCUGGUCUGGGAGGAUGACCAGCCAAACGGGAACUGGGACACGGGCCAGACUCCUACGGGAGGCAGAAGUGGGGAAUAUUGCACAAUGGGCGCAAGCCUGAUGCAGCCAUGCCGCGUGUGUGAAGAAGGCCUUCGGGUUGUAAAGCACUUUCAGCGGGGAGGCGUUACCCGCAGAAGAAGCACCGGCUAACUCCGUGCCAGCAGCCGCGGUAAUUC
RNAcentral lists this ribosomal RNA (406 nucleotides) under uncultured bacterium. RNAcentral's name for it is "partial 16S ribosomal RNA". It matches the Rfam family "Bacterial small subunit ribosomal RNA", at positions 29 to 526 of the family's 1533-position model. The record is from RNAcentral.